This 22-nucleotide transfer RNA is filed under the name Melanocetus johnsonii (humpback anglerfish). RNAcentral describes it as "partial tRNA-Glu". The record is from RNAcentral. Lineage: Eukaryota; Metazoa; Chordata; Actinopteri; Lophiiformes; Melanocetidae.
UAAAGGUUCUUAUAGUUGAAUA